Molecule: long non-coding RNA, 750 nt
Organism: Ornithodoros turicata
Lineage: Eukaryota; Metazoa; Arthropoda; Arachnida; Ixodida; Argasidae
Exons: 3
Source: RefSeq, a predicted model, not a curated record
UCACGUGGCCCACAGUUUCGAAUCUGGUCAAUGAUGUGCUCCACCAACCGGUCGUGUUUCCAUGGUUGGAGACCCCAUCGCCCUCGUUGUGAGUAACAAAUAUGUCCUGUCGUGCCACCCAAACUUUCGAGAAAUUUCGACAUGUUUGUAGCGAUUCAUCGCAGAUUGACUGCGUGCUGCAGCUGUGCUUCCAACCUCUGCGCGCCUACAAAACUGGAAGCUUGGACAUCUUCAGCUCAGGAGGUUGAGUCUCACGACAGGCUUGACAGAGCGACCAGACCUGGUCAGAGUUCUGUCGUCAUCUGUGUCGUCGUCAAAAGUUGAAUGGGUGACUUGCUGGGGCACACAGUGCUCGGCACUUCUUGUCUGAGUGUCUGUCCUCUGCUGUUCUGCUUUUGUUGGGCGGACGAAAGAUGUAUUUCGGCGAUGUAGACCUUUCUGUGUUUUAACAAAUACCGAACGGGGUUCGUCCAAGAAUCGUAUGACCGUACCAGGGAUCCAGUGUCGGUGUCCUUCCCACACUUUGACUGAUUGACCUACAGCCAUUUUCGGUGCUUGCCUUGUGUGCUGAUCACCAUACCUCUUCUACCGGUCACGUUCUGUAUUCAAUUUGUGUCUCACACCUUGUAUUACCUUUGGCUGUAGUAUGUUUAUAAGUCCCAAACAUCGCCACACCAGCAUUGGACAGCUGUUUCGGCCUUCUUGGCCCUUCAUCAGCAAUGCGUAGGUGGGCGACGUUUGAGCGAGUGG